CAACCCUCGAGCCCCUGUGGCCCGGCGUUGGGGAUCUGCCACGGCAGGCCCCUAAAACCAGUGGCGGACCCGAAGGGCCCUCUCCUUUGCGCAGUAGCAUUCGCCUCGCAUUGGGAGUCCUCGGCGUCCUGCCUCUAAACCCCCCACAAGUCCGCUUCGGCGGCACCAA
Molecule: unclassified non-coding RNA, 169 nt
Filed under: uncultured Plectosphaerella
Lineage: Eukaryota; Fungi; Ascomycota; Sordariomycetes; Glomerellales; Plectosphaerellaceae
Description: sequence contains ITS2
Source: RNAcentral